This is a long non-coding RNA of Lemur catta (Ring-tailed lemur), 195 nucleotides long. RefSeq lists it as uncharacterized. The record is from RefSeq and is a predicted model, not a curated record. The transcript has 3 exons. Lineage: Eukaryota; Metazoa; Chordata; Mammalia; Primates; Lemuridae.
GAGCCGUUGCCACCGGGCACACUCAGGCCAAGUCAAGCAGAAUGCUGCCAGUAAGAUGGAAGAAUUGGAGCAACCGGUGUGGAAUAACUGGGAGAAAGAGACCCCGGUAACCUGAUUUGCAUCAGAGGAUCUGUUUAUGACACACCUGGAUUUGGCAGUGAGGUCCUUGGGUUAUGAACUUCCUCUGUUUCUCUU